This is a long non-coding RNA of Dermochelys coriacea (leatherback sea turtle), 750 nucleotides long. RefSeq lists it as uncharacterized. The record is from RefSeq and is a predicted model, not a curated record. The transcript has 3 exons. NCBI's taxonomy places the organism in Eukaryota, Metazoa, Chordata, Testudines, Dermochelyidae.
GUGACUGUUUGAUUUCAGAAAGAGCUGGGGCAGUGAUGGAUGCUGUAGGAAACCCUCAGAACAGGUCAAGCCUCUCCCCAGGAAAUACUUGGCUUCUUUUAUAUUUCAGCACUUGGAGAAACUUCCUUCAAUCAUAAGUGUGCCCAGGAGAUGACCAGACAAUAGCUUACAUGUGGCAAUGUGGCUGGGAAGUCAGCAGCAGUGACUCCCUUCCACUGUACCUCUGUCAGUCACCCUUGUGCAGCAAGAGAAAGGAUCUCGAUGAAGGAUUUGGUGGCAGAAGGAAGGUUCUCUCCUCUGGACAGAGAUGGCUGUUUCUAACAUUCAAAAUGAUGUUUGCUUUCAUUUUUAAAGUGAAUUUAGUGUGGUGGACAGUGCCAUUCUCCCAGUGACAGAGAAUGAAGUCCUCUGACCACAGAAGUGAUUGGCAGAAGCAAUGCAAGGUUUCUUCACCCCGAUCCCAACCUCAUUCAGAAGAUCAUUGCAGUACUGCAAGUUCCAUGUGCACAAGAACCCAUGCUCAGAUUCACCACUGGAAUUCUGCAGGAGCUAGGUACCUCAGUACAUACUCUUCUCCCAUGGCCAGCAAUGGGGUGUCUCUUUCUGAACUCUGUUCUCUGCAUAGCUGGCUAAAUACCAACGAUCCUCCCAGGGGUGAAAGUAACUUAAAGGACUUACCGGUACUCCGGAGUUCUGAGCAGGGGGAGCGUGGCAUCGACUGGAAGAGGUGUGGCCUCAACCGGAAGAGGU